This 405-nucleotide ribosomal RNA is filed under the name uncultured bacterium. RNAcentral's name for it is "partial 16S ribosomal RNA". It matches the Rfam family "Bacterial small subunit ribosomal RNA", at positions 355 to 774 of the family's 1533-position model. The record is from RNAcentral.
UGGGGAAUUUUGUGCAAUGGGCGAAAGCCUGACACAGCGACACCGCGUGAGCGAAGAAGCCCUUUGGGGUGUAAAGCUCUGUCAGCUGGAACGAAACAAAUGACGGUACCAGCAGAGGAAGCAUCGGCUAACUACGUGCCAGCAGCCGCGGUAAGACGUAGGAUGCGAGCGUUGUCCGGAUUUAUUGGGCGUAAAGAGUUCGUAGGUGGUUUGUUAAGUCUGAUGUUAAAGAUCGGGGCCCAACCCCGGGAGUGUAUUGGAUACUGGCAGACUGGAGUGCAGUAGAGGCGAGUGGAAUUCCCAGUGUAGCGGUGAAAUGCGUAGAUAUUGGGAAGAACACCGGUGGCGUAGGCGACUCGCUGGGCUGUAACUGACACUGAGGAACGAAAGCCAGGGGAGCGAAUG